GGACCCCACUGCUAUCGGGAUAGGACUAAGACAUGCUAGUUGAGCGCUUCAGCCAAAACGAGGCGCAGCAUACAGCUCAGUAGCACGUGGCUAAUCUGCCCUUAGGAUAGGAACAACCCCGGGAAACUGGGGCUAAUUCCCAAUAGGCGAAGAACUCUGGAAUGAGUCUUCACCCGAAAAGAGCCCACGUUACGCUCGUGGGUCUCGCCUAAGGAUGAGGCCGCGGCCGAUCAGGUUGUUGGUGAGGUAACGGCUCACCAAGCCUUUUACCGGUGCGGGCCGUGAGAGCGGGAGCCCGGAGAUGGGUACUGAGACAAGGACCCAGGCCCUACGGGGCGCAGCAGUCGCGAAAACUUUGCAAUACACGCAAGUGUGACAGGGCUAUCCCGAGUGCCAUCCG
RNAcentral lists this ribosomal RNA (400 nucleotides) under uncultured archaeon. RNAcentral's name for it is "bacterial SSU rRNA". It matches the Rfam family "Archaeal small subunit ribosomal RNA", at positions 19 to 394 of the family's 1478-position model. The record is from RNAcentral.